Long non-coding RNA from Triticum aestivum (bread wheat), 4859 nucleotides. RefSeq lists it as uncharacterized. Lineage: Eukaryota; Viridiplantae; Streptophyta; Magnoliopsida; Poales; Poaceae. The transcript has 5 exons. The record is from RefSeq and is a predicted model, not a curated record.
CCUUUCGUGCUCCCCAUUCGGCGAGUCAGCGAGCACCGGCUGGAACCCUAGCCAUUCUUUCUCCCGCACGUCUCUCUCAAGCCUCCGCCGCCACCAGCCAUCCUCCCCGUCCCGCCUCUUCUCCUCCCCAUCGCCCCCUCCCCCCGUCGGUCGUCCUGCUGCAUCUCCUGAAGGGGCGCCGCGGCCGGUGGCGCCGCUGCUCCCCCGUCGAGCUUGAGCGUCCCCAUCACAAGGAGGAGAGGAGGUUGCCGCUGGCGUUGCUGCUCGGCCCUCUCUUCCCCACCACGUUGAUCCGACGCACCACUCCUCCGCGGGCGGCCACGUCUAACCCUAUCGCCACGGUCGCCGGUGCACGGCGGGCGGCUACGGCUAACCCUAGCGCCAUAGUCGCCGGUGCACGGCGUCGCCCAUGGACGACGGCGCUGCGCCUGCACCUGCGGUUGGUCCUCCCCGAGACUGGUUCUUGCCAGAUCUGCUGUUGUGCUCAUUGAUUUGCAGCCUCGUCCGCUCCUGUCUGUGCAUAUUUUGAUCCGAGCCGGUUGCAUCUUAGUUCACGGAUCUUUGGGUCAUCUGCAGGCCUUACCUUGAGCUCUCUGGAAUGAUUGUUGUAGGUGCGCUCUCAUCUUCGCGCCAUUGUCCACCUCUCCCCUGAGCUCGGCUCAAUUCCGUGGCUGGGGUCUGCUCUGUGUGCGACAACAUCUAUCCCAAAAGUGUAGGAGUCCUUGGACAAAGUUGGACUUUCUUGUCGGCAAGCUUGCCAAUUCCAUCUUGUUCGUAGAAAACAUGAUAAGAGCAUGGAGAUGGAUUGCUGCAUAUAUAUGUUGUUCCUUUUAAUCUCCAUAUGAGAUAGAAGAUUCUGGUUGUGCUCUAUUAACAUGAUUGGAUUUUGUGUGUGUUUUAGAAAACAUGGUAAGAGCAUGGAUGGAUUUAUGCAAAUUCAUGUCAUUGAUGCGGGAUCACGCCGGCCCUCCCUUGUGCUAGCCAGCCAACAGGAAGCUCCUGGUGGUGCUCCUGGAUGUGCUAUACAUCACCUCAUCCUCUCCUUGGCCGCUUCGGUGCUCGUGGCAUUCGCGCUCAUCGGUGGGACGGUGCAAGGUGCAACUCCGAUGCAGCGACGUGGAUGUGCGAUGUAGGAAGCGGUUCCUCGCCGGCUGGACGGCGUUCAGGCGCAACCCCGUCGCCCACUGAGUACUGCCUCGGCUAUAACCUCCCUCGUGAGCUUCAUCUUCCUCCUGCUCUGCUUCGGCUACUGCAUGGGACAUGGCCAGGGCUACAAUGAUCAGUUAUGGCUGAUAUAGGCAUGCUCUCGAGCAAUCGAGGCACUUGUGGGUAUUAAUUUGGAUCCCCCCUCAUUUCUUUGAGCCAUUUUGAUCACGUUCUUAUUUUAGUGGCUCUGUCCUUGGAUGGUCAUUUCUGAUGAGUGAUAACCAGGGCAGUUUCACCCUCAUAAGAACAUCGAGAAAUAAGGGAUUCAGUCACUCCCGCGCCUCCUCAGAGCUCAGCGGAUUCUGGCCGUCUGAUCCAUUUUCCCGAUGCAUUUUUGUCCGUUAGAUCGAUGUGGUGAAUGAUCUCGGCCGUAGGAUCGAGCCCGAGCUCCUGUAGCAAUGAAUAGUUACUCCCGCGGUGAGAUAUCUCGUGACGCCGCGUUCGAAUCACGUGCCCCAUCGGUCGGAAGCCAUUCUUGCUAGGGCAAUGAUGAUUAGCGUGCCUUUGAGCAAUUGAGGCACCUGUGGGUAUCAAGUUGGAUCCUCCCUCUUGUCUCUAGAAUCCUUUUUGAUCCUGUGAUACUUAUUGUUCUGUCCUUGGAUGGUCAUUCUUGUUGAAUGAUAACCAGGCAGAUCCACUGUAUAAACAGAUUGAUCUGGUGAAAGAGAUGAUGGGGCUAGAUUAUAUGACCGAGGAAAGGCGAAUGUGAGCCCACUAUGCAUUCAACCCUGAACCCUUUUUAUUUGUAUUUAAAAGUGUUGCUUAUUUAUGCUCCGGUGUUUAUAGCCGUCUUAUGUAAGUAUUUCUUCUCUCUCAUUCCUUUGAUCUUUUAUUGUUUGUUGUUGGUCCUUGAUCUAAUCUGGUUAAGAGUAAGUUGCACUUUGUUAUUCUGGGAUAAGCGAUGGUUCGGCAAUGCUAUUGGUUCUUCAUGAUGAGUUCAAUGGAGGAUUUUUGAUAUUAUUUUAUUGUUAACGAGUCAUGCGAGUAAGCUUUCUUGCAGGUACCCACACUUCUCUCUCCCUCCUGAUUAGCCUGAUCUCUUUUCUAUACGUGUCUAAAAGUUGUCUGUCUACAAGCUUUUUGUUUAGCUUAACAGAGAAAGACUAAAAUACAUUUUGUUUCUAUCACAAGAAUGGAUGCAAGUGUCUUGUGCAUUGGAUUCCAAGGGGAAGUCACAUCCAGAAAAAGAAACAACAAUCAAUUGUAUGGUUGUGCAAAAAGUCAAUAACAAAGAAACAAAGUAUGCUAAUGUUUGCUCUGAUUUAUAUGAUGACAUUUCUUCUUGAAACUUACCACUUUGUAAUGUUUUGGACAAGCUUUUACCCAAGUGCAGUAUUUGCUUUACUGUUUGCCUCAGUGUACCCAACUUUUCUGGUAGACCAAAUGCCUAGCAACACCAUGUAAUAUAGGAAGGAAAGAAAAGUUAGUAUACACAUAAUGUUGGCAUUUUUCAUAUGGUGAAGUUCUGAUUUUGUACUUAAUCUAAAACAUUAGUGCUAUGUUUUACUUUGUUGGUAACCUGUCAAUUUGUAAGCAUCCUGCCCUUCUCAUUUUCAGUGGAACUUAAUAAUAUCAUCUCUCAUUAAUUUUGUCCCUCGUUAUUUUAUAUCAUAUGAAAGUUGUUUACACAUCGGUAUCUUUUUGCAGAAAGGACUGCAUACAUUGGACACUUGACUGGAGGUUUAAUUCAUUUGAUAUUGUCUUCACUAACUGUGAGUGAGUUUACAUUUAUCUAUCAUUACAAAAUGAUUUCUUCUGUUCUUCCAGUCUGCAUGUUUUGUGACCUUACAACUUCUCCAUGAUGGCAAUAUAUCUGCUUAUGACUAUUCUAAUUGUUCUCAUGGUUGCUUUCCCUUUUGAUGACUCAUAUGCAUGAUAUGUCUUAUCCUUAAACUUCUUAUCACAUUUUGUUUUACUUGACCGUUGCAUCUAGGAAAUUUUUGCGUAAACAGAUCUACCAUUGGUAUAUAUGUUGAAGUAGUAACUUUAAACCUCCUCGCAAUACAAAACAAUAGUUAGUUUAAACCAUAUGCAAGCCCAUUUUACAUGAAAUUUUCUGGUUUUAUCACAUUGCAUUGUCCACCGAUGAAUAUAACCUAUACAGACUGUUGUAUGAAUAUCAUCACCUUUUUUAAGUUGAUCUGCCUUCAGUGGUAUGUACUACUAUUUUCUUCGACAUAUAACAAUGGAUAGAAUGUGCACAAUUGUGUUUCUAUAGUUAUUUGCCCUUCAUAAAAAAUUUCUACCUGCUUAAUGAUUGUCAUUCAGAAUUUAGAUGUUUUUUGGAUGAAAAAUGAUGUUUCAUUCUUUUCGUAGUCCACUGGAUAGUCCAAAAUCUCGUUUACAUAGUUAAUUAUUCGUUGGUAACUCAGAAGUGGUUGUUCAUAACUAAUCGUGCAUGCAUGUUUAGUUAUGUACCUUGAGCUUUAUUGUAGUCUGCAAGAAGUUUCCUACUGUUCCACUCCUCAUUUGUGCAUCUUAUCAGUAGGUGCUUAUUUAUUUAAUCAUCUUGAUUAUUUGAUCAGCUGACGGUUCAAUUCCACUUUGAUGCUUGAAUGUCUCGAAAAGAAGGUAAAGAUGGAUAUAUGCACCCUGUUGAAGUUACAAUUGUUUUUUCUUACUUCUAUAGUUUUAUUCAGUUUCUAAAGGCCUUUCAAGCUUUCUAUUCUUAUGGAUAUCUACAUUUCCGUACAUUUUCUCAAGUUUUGGAUUUGGAGUGACCAGUAUGAUUGGGUUCUCCAUUAGACAUUAUCUACAGUCUCCCCGACAUUUCUUAUUUCAUAUGCAAGCAGCUAACUGAUGUAACAUGAUUAUGUUUUGGGUGUAGCUCUACUUUUUCAAGGAUGUAUUUCGUAGCUAUAAUGUUUUUUUAAGUAUCACAUUUUACGGAUGAUUGUACCUAUAAUGUUGUCCAUAUAAGAUACAGGGCAAAGUAUUUGUGCAACCUCUGUCCCUGCCCAACGUGUUGUGCGUUGUAGGAGGAGCAAGCGGACCCCGGUCUGGCAUCAAGCCGAGCCAUGUCCAGGUUGGAGCGGUGAUGGCAGCUGCAGCGGGAUAGACGGCGCCGGCAACAAGCACAGUUCCUCAUCUUUGUCUCCGACGAAAAAGAUCAUCUGGUGACAAAACACCUCCUCCUUCUCUUCUCUGUGUGUGCUCCUCCCAUUGAUGAUAAAUAGAUAGAAGUUGUUUCAGGACAGGGUAUCUUGCUGGGAAACAGACUACGUAGUCUGUACUGUAUGUGCCAUUAAAACUGUUUAUUGUUAUUGCAACUGAAGCUGCAUAAAAGGGCUUUCGGUUGUUUAUACAUUACUCAGCCUCCAGUCUCAUUAUGUACAAAUGACUUGAUCUAAUCAUUAUGAAAGACCUAUGGGGUGUGUUGCUUUCUGUAUAAAUAACUUGCUAUAAUUGUAGGUUUGUUCUAUUUCUUUUUUUUCAAACUUGAUGCGUCGAGCUUUGAGCUACUAUAAUAAUUUGAUGAUCCUUUUUGGAAGAUAGUUCAAUAGUGAAUUUGACCACUUAUGUAUAGGUAUUUGUUGUUGUGUUAUGUAUGGAGAUGCAGAUUCUCAGGCUUAAGGUUUUAGUUUGGUAGUUUUAAGUGUUAUUGAUUGUUUUGCUGCAACUGGUUGUUGCUCGGCAUGAUAACCAAAGGAAUG